Cyprinus carpio carpio is the source of this 392-nucleotide long non-coding RNA. The record is from Ensembl. NCBI's taxonomy places the organism in Eukaryota, Metazoa, Chordata, Actinopteri, Cypriniformes, Cyprinidae.
UUUCCCAGUUUUAUGUUUGUUUGGUUUUAUUUUUUUUUUUGUUUUUUUUUUAGGAUUUGCAUUUAAAAAAAUGAGCCUACUUCAAACAUUUUAAGCAGCUUGAACAAAACCUGUUAAUAUUUAUUAUAGACCACUGUAACUGUCUAUUAUCUAAAAAAAAACAAAUUUAUUAUGAAAAUAAAAGUGUGUACACCAGUUAAAUUGGACGAUAAAGAAAUUGCUAACAAUAGUUUAAUAGUGCAUGUUUUAAGUUUAUAGGUGUUUGGAUGCAGAAAUGGACAAAUCAAAUGUAAAAUAACAUGUCAUCGAUUUAGUUAAAUAUAGAUUAAUUCUUGUUAGAGCAAAAUAAUAAUAAUAAUAAUAAUAAUAAUAAUAAUAAUAAUAAUAAUAAU